This 829-nucleotide ribosomal RNA is filed under the name Alteromonadales bacterium. Its description in RNAcentral is "bacterial SSU rRNA". It matches the Rfam family "Bacterial small subunit ribosomal RNA", at positions 1 to 775 of the family's 1533-position model. Lineage: Bacteria; Pseudomonadati; Pseudomonadota; Gammaproteobacteria; Alteromonadales. The record is from RNAcentral.
GGAGCUCUCCCAUAUGGUCGACCUGCAGGCGGCCGCGAAUUCACUAGUGAUUGUUUGAUCCUGGCUCAGAUUGAACGCUGGCGGCAGGCUUAACACAUGCAAGUCGAACGGUAACAGAGAAUAGCUUGCUAUUCUGCUGACGAGUGGCGGACGGGUGAGUAAUGCUUGGGAAUUUGCCGAAAGGUGGGGGACAACAGUUGGAAACGACUGCUAAUACCGCAUAAUGUCUACGGACCAAAGGUGGCCUCUAUUUAUAUGCUAUCGCCUUUCGAUGAGCCCAAGUGGGAUUAGCUAGUUGGUAAGGUAAUGGCUUACCAAGGCGACGAUCCCUAGCUGGUCUUAGAGGAUGACCAGCCACACUGGAACUGAGACACGGUCCAGACUCCUACGGGAGGCAGCAGUGGGGAAUAUUGCACAAUGGGGGAAACCCUGAUGCAGCCAUGCCGCGUGUGUGAAGAAGGCUUUCGGGUUGUAAAGCACUUUCAGCGAGGAGGAAAGGGUAAUGGCUAAUAUCCAUUAUCUGUGACGUUACUCGCAGAAGAAGCACCGGCUAACUCCGUGCCAGCAGCCGCGGUAAUACGGAGGGUGCAAGCGUUAAUCGGAAUUACUGGGCGUAAAGCGCGCGUAGGUGGUUAAUUAAGUCAGAUGUGAAAGCCCAGGGCUCAACCUUGGAACUGCAUUUGAAACUGGUUGACUAGAGUUUUGUAGAGGGUGGUAGAAUUUCAGGUGUAGCGGUGAAAUGCGUAGAGAUCUGAAGGAAUACCAGUGGCGAAGGCGGCCACCUGGACAAAGACUGACACUGAGGCGCGAAGGCGUGGGGAGCAAACGG